UGGGGAAUAUUGCACAAUGGGCGCAAGCCUGAUGCAGCCAUGCCGCGUGUGUGAAGAAGGCCUUCGGGUUGUAAAGCACUUUCAGCGGGGAGGAAGGCGUUAAGGUUAAUAACCUUGGCGAUUGACGUUACCCGCAGAAGAAGCACCGGCUAACUCCGUGCCAGCAGCCGCGGUAAUACGGAGGGUGCAAGCGUUAAUCGGAAUCACUGGGCGUAAAGCGCACGCAGGCGGUCUGUCAAGUCGGAUGUGAAAUCCCCGGGCUCAACCUGGGAACUGCAUUCGAAACUGGCAGGCUAGAGUCUUGUAGAGGGGGGUAGAAUUCCAGGUGUAGCGGUGAAAUGCGUAGAGAUCUGGAGGAAUACCGGUGGCGAAGGCGGCCCCCUGGACAAAGACUGACGCUCAGGUGCGAAAGCGUGGGGAGCAAACAGG
RNAcentral lists this ribosomal RNA (429 nucleotides) under Chloroflexota bacterium. Its description in RNAcentral is "Chloroflexi bacterium partial 16S ribosomal RNA". It matches the Rfam family "Bacterial small subunit ribosomal RNA", at positions 355 to 776 of the family's 1533-position model. Lineage: Bacteria; Bacillati; Chloroflexota. The record is from RNAcentral.